Molecule: ribosomal RNA, 253 nt
Filed under: uncultured bacterium
Lineage: Bacteria
Description: partial 16S ribosomal RNA
Rfam family: Bacterial small subunit ribosomal RNA
Source: RNAcentral
UACGAAGGGGGCUAGCGUUGUUCGGAAUCACUGGGCGUAAAGGGCGCGUAGGCGGCUUUGUAAGUCGGGGGUGAAAGCCUGUGGCUCAACCACAGAAUUGCCUUCGAUACUGCAUGGCUUGAGACCGGAAGAGGUAAGUGGAACUGCGAGCGUAGAGGUGAAAUUCGUAGAUAUUCGCAAGAACACCAGUGGCGAAGGCGGCUUACUGGUCCGGUUCUGACGCUGAGGCGCGAAAGCGUGGGGAGCAAACAGG